RNAcentral lists this unclassified non-coding RNA (236 nucleotides) under Hevea brasiliensis (rubber tree). Lineage: Eukaryota; Viridiplantae; Streptophyta; Magnoliopsida; Malpighiales; Euphorbiaceae. The record is from RNAcentral.
UCUCUCUCUCUCUCUUCUUCCUCCUUUCUGUCUAUCUUUUUCUAAAAUCUCUGUAAUCAGUAGAAACCCUCAUUUCUAGGUAACUACUGACAGAUUGGUAUCAGAGCCAGGUUCCUGUGGAGGGCUUUGAUCCAGAUCAGUACCAGGGGUGUCGCGAGAUGCCUAGAAGUCUAGUGGUGAAUCAAGAAACUGUCAGAAUGGAAGAGCUGGAAGAAAAGGUGCGCAAUUGGCAAGAA